RNAcentral lists this ribosomal RNA (435 nucleotides) under uncultured bacterium. RNAcentral's name for it is "partial 16S ribosomal RNA". It matches the Rfam family "Bacterial small subunit ribosomal RNA", at positions 29 to 507 of the family's 1533-position model. The record is from RNAcentral.
AGCGAACGCUGGCGGCAGGCUUAACACAUGCAAGUCGAGCGGGCACUUUCGGGUGUCAGCGGCGGACGGGUGCGUAACGCUUGGGAACGUGCCCUCUGGUUCGGAAUAACUCAUGGAAACUUGAGCUAAUACCUGAUACGCCCUUUUGGGGAAAGGCUUGCUGCCGGAGGAUCGGCCCGCGUCUGAUUAGCUAGUUGGUGAGGUAACGGCUCACCAAGGCGACGAUCAGUAGCUGGUCUGAGAGGAUGAUCAGCCACACUGGGACUGAGACACGGCCCAGACUCCUACGGGAGGCAGCAGUGGGGAAUAUUGGACAAUGGGCGCAAGCCUGAUCCAGCCAUGCCGCGUGAGUGAUGAAGGCCUUAGGGUUGUAAAGCUCUUUUAUCCGGGACGAUAAUGACGGUACCGGAGGAAUAAGCCCCGGCUAACUUCGUG